Molecule: long non-coding RNA, 935 nt
Organism: Rhineura floridana
Lineage: Eukaryota; Metazoa; Chordata; Lepidosauria; Squamata; Rhineuridae
Exons: 3
Source: RefSeq, a predicted model, not a curated record
UGGGAUCUCUAACCCUUUUUCUUUUAUGAAAGUGUAAUGACAAGGUAGAAUAUGCUACAGCACACCUCAGUGGCUAACCCCACAGAGGUUGCUGAAAAUAGACUCGGGGUGGGGGCAGGCAGGGAGAUUGCCUUUCUCAUCAGAGCUUCCUAUAUGUGAAAAUGUAGAGCAAUGGAACGAAGUUAAUUAGAACAAAUCUGGCCAUGUAUCCAAAGUGGUAGGAUCUGUUGAGGACUGUGGCCAGGGUAUGUGGCUAGAAUCUGUUGGAAAGGAAGGUUUCUUUUUCUCUUGGAAUACUACCCACACAACUUUAUUUAUAUGGCACCAUUAAUCUGCAUGGUGCUUUAAACAGUGCAAGAGAACAUGUCCCUGUCCUGAGGAGCUCACAAUCAAAAGUUCAACACAGAAGCAGAAGAAAGAGAGGGAACUGGAGGAAGGGCUUACAAAUCAAUGAAAAGCAACUGUGCAGAAUCUCAACACAAGUGGCAGUCUAAAGCCUGCUCCAGUUGUCUGUUCUGUCAGAUGUUAAUCCAUGUAUCACGACGAAUGAAAACCAACUGAAGAAGACCAGACUCUAAAAGAGGAAGCAGUUGGGGCAAUGAGGAACCAAGAAGCCUCUUGCUAGAGGUCUACAGGAAGACUAGCUGGUGCUCCUGUAAAGAAAACAUCUGUAAAUAUGUCGCCUAUCUUUGGACACAAUUGCUGUGAAGUCCAUAACAGAAUCCCGACUCUGUCAUAAGAUUGUAACUUUGGAUUGAUUUCAGGCUGUGCGAAUCUAGAGGUCAGACAUCAUUUUCCUAUGAGUAAAGGAGUAAUGAUUAAGGCCAAAAGGGGUUGAGGACUUAGCAGAGGUGUUCCAGUGGGUUUAUCUUUAAUUCCAUGUCUAGUACCAUACAAUAUAUACAUAUACAAUAUGCUCUGCUUAGAGAUUUUAA